GCGGUUCUGGAACCAGAUCUUCACCUGGGUCUCGGUGAGCUGCAGCGAGGCGGCCAGCCCGGCUCGCUCCGAGCUGCUCAGGUAGCGCUUCAGGUCGAAGGUGGACUCCAGCUGGAACACUUGGCUCCUGCUGAACACGCUAUCCUCUCGGGAAGUGAAGGAGGACGACGCAUCUUCCUCUUCCCUGUCAUCCGUGAAACUGUCGUCCCCCUUUUCCUCAGCUUCAUCGUCCUCCACCGCCUGCCCCGUCGAAGUUGGGGAGUCCCGCUCGCUGGUUGGCACCGGGUCCGUGUGCUCAUCCGAGUAUUUGGCCUUGUAUAGCGGAGCUAUGAGGGAUAACGUGGAAAAUGAAACAACAAUCCAUUCUAGUCACCCUCUCGAGCCGUUCGCACCGCCGAGGAUGGUCCCGUCAGUGUUUUGUGCACAAUUACGCGCAUGCAUGCUCCCUGCGCUUUCCACGAGUAUAAAAACACCGCACCGGCUCACCGCUGUCGGUCUAUCUGAAGCACGAGUGAGAUUAUUGUGUGGGAGCCAAGAACUGUUGGCUUCUGCAGUGCUGAUAAUUGGAGAGUUGGGGUGUUUUACGCAUGGAUGCAGAGACAGUAAAACGUGUUGCUGGCGCAUGUAUUUUGUCCACAUGUGCCCCGAAACACCAAAGAUGUUUUUGAUUAAAUGAGAAAUGUUGAGGUGGA
Long non-coding RNA from Mugil cephalus (flathead mullet), 692 nucleotides. RefSeq lists it as uncharacterized. Lineage: Eukaryota; Metazoa; Chordata; Actinopteri; Mugiliformes; Mugilidae. The transcript is spliced from 2 exons. The record is from RefSeq and is a predicted model, not a curated record.